This 558-nucleotide ribosomal RNA is filed under the name uncultured bacterium. RNAcentral's name for it is "bacterial SSU rRNA". It matches the Rfam family "Bacterial small subunit ribosomal RNA", at positions 119 to 674 of the family's 1533-position model. The record is from RNAcentral.
CGGAACGUGCCCAGUAGCGGGGGAUAACUACGCGAAAGCGUAGCUAAUACCGCAUACGCCCUACGGGGGAAAGGGGGGGAUCGUAAGACCUCUCACUAUUGGAGCGGCCGAUAUCGGAUUAGCUAGUUGGUGAGGUAAAGGCUCACCAAGGCGACGAUCCGUAGCUGGUUUGAGAGGACGACCAGCCACACUGGGACUGAGACACGGCCCAGACUCCUACGGGAGGCAGCAGUGGGGAAUUUUGGACAAUGGGGGAAACCCUGAUCCAGCCAUUCCGCGUGUGCGAUGAAGGCCUUCGGGUUGUAAAGCACUUUUGGCGGGAAAGAAAUCGGUCGGGCUAAUACCCUGACCGGAUGACGGUACCCGCAGAAUAAGCACCGGCUAACUACGUGCCAGCAGCCGCGGUAAUACGUAGGGUGCAAGCGUUAAUCGGAAUUACUGGGCGUAAAGCGUGCGCAGGCGGUUCGGAAAGAAAGAUGUGAAAUCCCAGGGCUCAACCUUGGAACUGCAUUUUAACUACCGGGCUAGAGUGUGUCAGAGGGAGGUGGAAUUCCGCGU